UGAAAAGUUAGUCAGAGCGAAACUGAAGCGGUCAGGAGGAGAGCCGUGACGGUGUCCGUGACCAUUUAACGUGAGGAGUAUUUGUGAGGUUUUGGCUCUUGCGUAGGAUGUUUCAUUAGUGCACCGGCUACUCUUAAAUGGCUUAAAACAAUCCUUGCUAUUUAUAACUCUGGAGACUUUUGUCCUUCCUUGGCGGUCGAGCAUUGCUGGAUUUGGAGUCAACAUCAAGAAGCGUCAGACAUGCACUUUCUUGGAGUUAUUGUCGGCGUCUUUCUGCCUGUUUUAUGCAACUUAUCGCUGGGGUUUCCUGUGCCAGUAGAUGCGAUCAUAGUGCAGAUGCAGCAGUGGGGAGUGGUGGGUGCUCACCAGAUCGUGGAGCAAGUCCUUCACAAUGGAGUCUCUCUUACUGGAAGAAGCCAGGAAGUUGAGAGCAUUAUCCAAACCAUGUCAGCUGAUUCCCUCCUGCCGACUCUUAUCAGGGUCAACCAGACUUCCUUACUGAGAAACCACACUGUCCUUCGUUCUCGUGAAUGCACACUCGAGGGGUCUCAGCUGCACUGGGCCGACCGUGUGUUCUAUGACGGGAACGUCUAUCUGACUCUGGACCACACUGAUACAUGGACGGCCCAUGUGCCACAAGCCCUGGCUUUCAAAGUGUUGUGGGACCAAGAAGCACAGCGCACAAAGGCAGAAAUGACACGCCUUCAGGAGGGAUGCAUCAAGCUGAUGAGCGAACUGAAGCUUUCUCAGGAGCAGUCAGAUCAAGGGAAUCCUUUGCCUCAGUUUCUGAUCCCAGUCUUGGCACUUCUGGCAUUAACAGGACUCAUCAUAAUCAGCCUGCUCCUCUCCAAAAACCAGGGUUUGAGGCACCCCGGAGCCUUUAAUGGAUAGGACAGACAAGUGUGAAAGGGGGAGAGAGAGAGGGAGUGACAUGCAGCAAAGGGCCACAGGCUGGAGUUGAACCUGGGCCGCUGUGGCAACAGCCUUGUACAUGGGGCGCCUGCUCUACCACUAAGCCACCGACGCCCUGAUAUCUGAUAAUCUUUAACAGUGUUGUUGGCUCAAUUAUACAUUACCCCAAAGACAUGACUGAAACGGCUCCAGAAAUAAGGAGCGACGGUUACCAAACCUUGUAAUUCAAAGCUGCUGAUUAACAGGGUCACGUUUGAGCUCUCUUCUCCAUUACUGCUGCUAAAUGUCCAAAUAGAGAUUUAACACUUUUUCCUCCUGUGUAUGGAAAGUGUUUCUGCAGGAAUAUAACCAAAAACCUUUGCUAUGUUACCAACAGCCCACUGUAUUAAACGCAUGUGAUCUGGAUUCCAGGCCGCAUUACUUUAUGCACUUUAAUGUAUGUAUCAUACUUUACACUGGUGCUUUUAUUGCAUAUACUUUUUUUAUAUUUGUGCAUGUAUGUAUACACACAAAGUAGUGUAAAUACAUUUUCUGCAGCAAUGUACAAGCUUUUUAGACACUAAUAACUGUGGGCAAAUGUUUUCACCAGCCAUAAUCUCUGGACUAAGCUAUACAAGUAAAUAACUGUGUAAAUAUAAUGAAAAUGUUUUGUUUUAAGCACAAAGAAUGUCACACAUUGUCUUGUAGUCUGUAGAUAAAGCCCUGCUGAAAUCAAGUGUUUGUUUGGUCACUGAGAGUCAUGUCCCAGUGAAACUCUGCCAAAUGCUGACUGACUGAUGUCUGUAAGUGUGUCCAGUAAUCAAUAAUGUGUUGUUUGGUUUAAGAUACUGUCCUGAUGGUUUUAAUAUUUCUUUGUCAUACUGUUCAUUGUUUUUUUUUUUUCCUAACAUUUCUCCAUGUAAAAUUUUAAAUAAUUCAAUUAAAGAUACAUUUAUGGUAUAGAA
Epinephelus lanceolatus (giant grouper) is the source of this 1856-nucleotide RNA transcript. RefSeq lists it as uncharacterized. Lineage: Eukaryota; Metazoa; Chordata; Actinopteri; Perciformes; Serranidae. The record is from RefSeq and is a predicted model, not a curated record.